GUGUUCUUUUGGGAAGCACAUAUUCUAAAAUUGGACAAUACAGAGAUUAGCAUAGUCACUGUGCAAGGAUGAUAUGAAAAUUUGUGAAGAAUUCCAUAUUUUU
This is a small nuclear RNA of Nannospalax galili (Upper Galilee mountains blind mole rat), 103 nucleotides long. Lineage: Eukaryota; Metazoa; Chordata; Mammalia; Rodentia; Spalacidae. The record is from Ensembl.